This 468-nucleotide ribosomal RNA is filed under the name uncultured bacterium. RNAcentral describes it as "partial 16S ribosomal RNA". It matches the Rfam family "Bacterial small subunit ribosomal RNA", at positions 28 to 507 of the family's 1533-position model. The record is from RNAcentral.
GACGAACGCUGGCGGCGUGCUUAACACAUGCAAGUCGAACGGAAAGGCCCUGCUUUUGUGGGGUGCUCGAGUGGCGAACGGGUGAGUAACACGUGAGUAACCUGCCCUUGACUUUGGGAUAACUUCAGGAAACUGGGGCUAAUACCGGAUAGGAGCUCCUGCUGCAUGGUGGGGGUUGGAAAGUUUCGGCGGUUGGGGAUGGACUCGCGGCUUAUCAGCUUGUUGGUGGGGUAGUGGCUUACCAAGGCUUUGACGGGUAGCCGGCCUGAGAGGGUGACCGGCCACAUUGGGACUGAGAUACGGCCCAGACUCCUACGGGAGGCAGCAGUGGGGAAUCUUGCACAGUGGGAGGAAGCCUGAUGCAGCAACGCCGCGUGCGGGAUGACGGCCUUCGGGUUGUAAACCGCUUUCGCCUGUGACGAAGCGUGAGUGACGGUAAUGGGUAAAGAAGCACCGGCUAACUACGUG